RNAcentral lists this unclassified non-coding RNA (457 nucleotides) under Hevea brasiliensis (rubber tree). The record is from RNAcentral. Lineage: Eukaryota; Viridiplantae; Streptophyta; Magnoliopsida; Malpighiales; Euphorbiaceae.
ACUCCAGAUUGCUGAGGAUGCACAUGUCGGCACAAUUGUCUUCAAUGGAAUGCUAGGAGGAUAGAUGAAAGGCACUCUGUCGCCUCUAAAAUUGAGUGACGAUCUUAGUUCUAAAUAACGGCUUUGUAUAUAUUGGUUAAAGUCUCCUCCUUGUUUAUCAGAUCUGUAUGUUGCAGCUUCUGCGUUAAUCAAAUGUUGCACUAUCGUGCUUGCUGUUGUCCUUUAGUUCCAAAAGCUUGGUUGCGUGAUGGAGUGUUCUUCAUGAGUUCGAAAAAUGUUAGGCGGAUGCCUUGUUGUUUGCUUGUGGAAUUAUUUUUUUUUAUCAUUAAGUUGAGCAUGCAAAUAAACCAUUGGCUUUAAAAUUAGAGCAAGACAUUGCUCUGGAUUAGUGGAGAGAAGCAAUCAAAUGAACGAAGGAGAAGAUGAAUAAAAGAGUUUUUUAUGUUUUCGUUUGAAA